UCAAGCGAUAAAGAGCAUAGGGCGAAUGCCUUGGCACUAGGAGCCGAAGAAGGACGUGAUAAGCUGCGAUAAGCUACGGUAAGGCGCAAAUAGCCAAUAACCCGUAGAUUUCCGAAUGAGGGAACUCAAUUAUGGUAAUGCAUAAUUAUCCUAUGAUGAAUAUAUAGUCAUAGAGAAGGUAACCCGGAGAACUGAAACAUCUAAGUAACCGGAGGAAGAGAAAGAAAAAUCGAUUUUCAAAGUAGCGGCGAGCGAAAUGGAAAGAGCCCAAACCACAGAAGCUGUGGGGUUGUGGACCACCAAAACGAGAAUGAAGUAUAGCCAAAUUGUCUGGAAAGGCAAGACGAAGAGGGUGAAAUCCCCGUAGGCGAAAUGCUAAGUUUUCAGGGUGGCACCAGAGUAGGGCGGGACACGUGAAACCCUGUCUGAAGUAUGGGAGGACCACCUCCUAAGGCUAAAUACUACCUAGUGACCGAUAGAGAACAGUACCGUGAGGGAAAGGUGAAAAGAACCCCGGAAGGGGAGUGAAAUAGAAUCUGAAACCUUAUGCUUACAAGCAGAGGGAGCAAAGAGGGUAGCCUCUAAGUGACCUCGUACUUUUUGUAGAACGGGCCAACGAGUUAUGGUGUGUAGCAAGGUGAAGGCGUGAAGCGCAACAGCCGAAGUGAAAGCGAGCCUUAAUAGGGCGAGAAGUUGCAUGCUGUAGACCCGAAACCGGGUGAUCUAUCCAUGUGCAGGUUGAAGCGAGAGUAAAAUCUCGUGGAGGACCGAACCUGUAUCUGUUGAAAAAGGUUAGGAUGACGUGUGGAUAGGGGUGAAAUUCCAAUCGAACUCGGAGAUAGCUGGUUCUCCUCGAAAUAGCUUUAGGGCUAGCCUCAAGAAAAGAUUAACGGAGGUAGAGCACUGAAUGUUUGCGGGACCUUCACCGGUUACCAAAAACUAUCAAACUCCGAAUGCCGUAUAAUUAUACUUGGGAGUCAGACUAUGUGAGAUAAGUUUCAUAGUCGAAAGGGAAACAGCCCAGACCUACAGCUAAGGUCCCAAAAUAUAAGUUAAGUGGAAAAGGAUGUGAAGUUGCACAAACAGCUAGGAUGUUGGCUUAGAAGCAGCCAUACAUUUAAAGAGUGCGUAACAGCUCACUAGUCGAGUGAUUUUGCGCCGAAGAUAAACGGGGCUAAAACUUAUUACCGAAGCUUGGGAAUUUAAAAUAAAUUGGUAGAGGAGCGUCCUAUGUGGGUUGAAGUUGUGCCGUAAGGCAUGGUGGACUGCAUAGGAGUGAGAAUGUUGGCAUGAGUAGCGAGAGACAGGUGAGAAUCCUGUCGGCCGAAAAUCUAAGGUUUCCUGAGCAAGGUUCGUCCGCUCAGGGUUAGUCGGGACCUAAGCUGAGGGCGAAAGCCAUAGGCGAUGGACAACAGGUUGAUAUUCCUGUACCACCGAUAGUCGUUAAGAGUGAAGUGGGGACACAGAAGGAUAGGUUAAGCGUGCCGUUGGUAGAGCACGUACAAGCGUUAAGGUAGUUGCAGCAGGCAAAUCCACUGCAAUAAUACUGAGGCGUUAUGUGGAGGGAAAUUAAGUACCGGAAGUGACUGAUUUCAUGCUGUCAAGAAAAUCCGCUAGCAAGACUAAAGGUGCCCGUACCGCAAACCGACACAGGUAGAUGAGGAGAGAAUCCUAAGGCCAGCGAGAUAACUAUUGUUAAGGAACUCGGCAAAAUAACCCCGUAACUUUGGGAGAAGGGGUACCUACGCAAGUAGGUCGCAGUGAAUAGGCCCAGGCGACUGUUUAGCAAAAACACAGGUCUCUGCAAAAGCGAAAGCUGAAGUAUAGGGGCUGACGCCUGCCCAGUGCUGGAAGGUUAAGGUGAAGUGUAAGGGUAACCGAAGCACAGAACUUAAGCCCCAGUAAACGGCGGCCGUAACUAUAACGGUCCUAAGGUAGCGAAAUUCCUUGUCAGGUAAG
Molecule: ribosomal RNA, 1959 nt
Filed under: human oral metagenome
Description: bacterial LSU rRNA
Rfam family: Bacterial large subunit ribosomal RNA
Source: RNAcentral